AGUGAACGCUGGCGGUAGGCCUAACACAUGCAAGUCGAACGGCAGCACAGUAAGAGCUUGCUCUUACGGGUGGCGAGUGGCGGACGGGUGAGGAAUACAUCGGAAUCUACUUUUUCGUGGGGGCUAACGUAGGGAAACUUACGCUAAUACCGCAUACGACCUACGGGUGAAAGCAGGGGAUCUUCGGACCUUGCGCGAUUGAAUGAGCCGAUGUCGGAUUAGCUAGUUGGCGGGGUAAAGGCCCACCAAGGCGACGAUCCGUAGCUGGUCUGAGAGGAUGAUCAGCCACACUGGAACUGAGACACGGUCCAGACUCCUACGGGAGGCAGCAGUGGGGAAUAUUGGACAAUGGGCGCAAGCCUGAUCCAGCCAUACCGCGUGGGUGAAGAAGGCCUUCGGGUUUUAAAGCCCUUUUGUUGGGAAAGAAAAGCAGCAGGUUAAUACCCCGCUGUUCUGACGGUACCCAAAGAAUAAGCACCGGCUAACUUCGUG
RNAcentral lists this ribosomal RNA (492 nucleotides) under uncultured bacterium. RNAcentral's name for it is "partial 16S ribosomal RNA". It matches the Rfam family "Bacterial small subunit ribosomal RNA", at positions 29 to 507 of the family's 1533-position model. The record is from RNAcentral.